UUUGGCCGUUACCUGCAGCUGAUGAGCUCCAAAAAGAACAAUUCCAUUUAGGUCAUGUAGUACUGGCCUACAUGUUU
Molecule: non-coding RNA, 77 nt
Filed under: Coturnix japonica (Japanese quail)
Lineage: Eukaryota; Metazoa; Chordata; Aves; Galliformes; Phasianidae
Source: RNAcentral